RNAcentral lists this ribosomal RNA (492 nucleotides) under uncultured bacterium. Its description in RNAcentral is "partial 16S ribosomal RNA". It matches the Rfam family "Bacterial small subunit ribosomal RNA", at positions 29 to 507 of the family's 1533-position model. The record is from RNAcentral.
AGUGAACGCUGGCGGUAGGCCUAACACAUGCAAGUCGAACGGCAGCACAGUAAGAGCUUGCUCUUACGGGUGGCGAGUGGCGGACGGGUGAGGAAUACAUCGGAAUCUACUUUUUCGUGGGGGAUAACGUAGGGAAACUUACGCUAAUACCGCAUACGACCUACGGGUGAAAGCAGGGGAUCUUCGGACCUUGCGCUUUUGUGUGACGCGAUGUCGGAUUAGCUAGUUGGCGGGGUAAAGGCCCACCAAGGCGACGAUCCGUAGCUGGUCUGAGAGGAUGAUCAGCCACACUGGAACUGAGACACGGUCCAGACUCCUACGGGAGGCAGCAGUGGGGAAUAUUGGACAAUGGGCGCAAGCCUGAUCCAGCCAUACCGCGUGGGUGAAGAAGGCCUUCGGGUUGUAAAGCCCUUUUGUUGGGAAAGAAAAGCAGCAGGUUAAUACCCCGCUGUUCUGACGGUACCCAAAGAAUAAGCACCGGCUAACUUCGUG